GCCUCAACAGCGCCUCCUUCUGGACAAACACCACCUGACACCGGGACAGCAAAGGUCAACAGAAGAACGCCGACCGAAGGUGGCUGUCAGCCGGAGGUCAUGCCUGUUGUUCCAGGACAACAACAAUCCCAUGAUUCCUGGGGAUUCAGAAAAUCCUAUUUUCCAGCAUUUCAAGGUGUCGAUUUGGAGCUCACCCUGUUUCUGGGGACCAGAGUGGAGCAGCCAUCAGGACAGCCCACCUUCACCUCUGGACAGGAGCUUUGCACAUGAUCCUAAAAGUGACCCAGUAUGGACCAGCCAGACCUCUCCAGUCAUCUGGGCCUGGACCGGGUCUUUGUCAGUUCCCAGAUUCAAAACCAAACAUGGGAGUAGCUGCAUUCAGCUUCUCCACUAAAAACCAGCAGUUUAUCUACAAUCAUCCUAAUUUUCAGAUGGACCAGUGUUUGCUUUUUUUUGGUCCACCAGAGUUUAUUAGAUGAACUUUCACAUCUUCCCAAAGGCAGCCGACUACCCAAAGAAAGCUCUGAUCAAAAACCAGACACCAGUGAUGGAAAUGAUGUCCCAGUAUGUGAGAAGUAUCUAACAUUGCAUUCUAAAAAUGUCUCCUUUGCCCCACAUUUGCUAAUAAAUACGAGGAAACUUUUGCACAGCUUCAUAAUUUUGGGGGUAAGAAAUGUUGAUAAUUUUCUUUUAAAGUUUUUGGUUAAAAAAAAUGACAGCAGCCUGAAAAUUGCGAUUUUCAGAAACGAUGAUCCCAUAAUAGAUCGACUGAUGUGGUUUAUUUCACCUUAGACACAAAAAUUCACAUUGAUACCAGUUGGUUCUUGUGGGACUCAUCCGUCCCUCAAACUCUUAUCGUGUGAGCACGAUGACGGGUAACCAUGGCAACCAGGGAAAGGCUCGGCUAACUCUGCUGUUAUUCUAAAAGCUGUUCAGAGUUCAAAUGACCUUCAGCUUUUAUACCGUAGGAUUAAAACGAUGUGUAACUACACACAAAAUGAGAGAAAACCGGUAUGGUGGUUCCAUUCCAACCCAUUUCAAGUGUGUUUUUAAAUUAUUAAGUCUGCUUCCAAAGUACAAAACUGUCCUCCAUCCUUGGACUGUAAUCUGCUGCCAUCCAGCAUAACAGGAAGUUGAGAGUUUGGAG
Molecule: non-coding RNA, 1147 nt
Organism: Oryzias latipes (Japanese medaka)
Lineage: Eukaryota; Metazoa; Chordata; Actinopteri; Beloniformes; Adrianichthyidae
Source: RefSeq, a predicted model, not a curated record